This 421-nucleotide ribosomal RNA is filed under the name uncultured bacterium. RNAcentral describes it as "bacterial SSU rRNA". It matches the Rfam family "Bacterial small subunit ribosomal RNA", at positions 355 to 774 of the family's 1533-position model. The record is from RNAcentral.
UAAGGAAUAUUGGUCAAUGGACGCAAGUCUGAACCAGCCAUGCCGCGUGAAGGAUGAAGGUCCUCUGGAUUGUAAACUUCUUUUAUCUGGGACGAAAACGGGAUUUUUAUCUCAAUUGACGGUACCAGAGGAAUAAGCACCGGCUAACUCCGUGCCAGCAGCCGCGGUAAUACGGAGGGUGCGAGCGUUAUCCGGAUUUACUGGGUUUAAAGGGUGCGUAAGUGGGCUUAUAAGUCAGUGGUGAAAUCUCCGAGCUUAACUUGGAAACUGCCGUUGAUACUAUAGGUCUUGAAUUAUCUGGAGGUAAGCGGAAUAUGUCAUGUAGCGGUGAAAUGCUUAGAUAUGACAUAGAACACCAAUUGCGAAGGCAGCUUACUACAUAUAAAUUGACGCUGAGGCACGAAAGCGUGGGGAUCAAACA